RNAcentral lists this ribosomal RNA (467 nucleotides) under Rheinheimera sp. HSD-7105. RNAcentral describes it as "bacterial SSU rRNA". It matches the Rfam family "Bacterial small subunit ribosomal RNA", at positions 9 to 482 of the family's 1533-position model. The record is from RNAcentral. Lineage: Bacteria; Pseudomonadati; Pseudomonadota; Gammaproteobacteria; Chromatiales; Chromatiaceae.
GAGUUUGAUCCUGGCUCAGAUUGAACGCUGGCGGCAGGCCUAACACAUGCAAGUCGAGCGGGGUUUUCGGACCUAGCGGCGGACGGGUGAGUAAUGCGUAGGAAGCUGCCCGAUAGAGGGGGAUACCAGUUGGAAACGACUGUUAAUACCGCAUAAUGUCUACGGACCAAAGUGUGGGACCUUCGGGCCACAUGCUAUCGGAUGCGCCUACGUGGGAUUAGCUAGUUGGUGAGGUAAUGGCUCACCAAGGCGACGAUCUCUAGCUGGUUUGAGAGGAUGAUCAGCCACACUGGAACUGAGACACGGUCCAGACUCCUACGGGAGGCAGCAGUGGGGAAUAUUGGACAAUGGGCGCAAGCCUGAUCCAGCCAUGCCGCGUGUGUGAAGAAGGCCUUCGGGUUGUAAAGCACUUUCAGCGAGGAGGAAGGGUGGUGUGUUAAUAGCACAUCAUUUUUGACGUUACUCGC